GACGAACGCUGGCGGCGUGCUUAACACAUGCAAGUCGAACGGAAAGGCCCUGCUUUUGUGGGGUGCUCGAGUGGCGAACGGGUGAGUAACACGUGAGUAACCUGCCCUUGACUUUGGGAUAACUUCAGGAAACUGGGGCUAAUACCGGAUAGAAGCUCCUGCUGCAUGGUGGGGGUUGGAAAGUUUCGGCGGUUGGGGAUGGUCUCGCGGCUUAUCAGCUUGUUGGUGGGGUAGUGGCUUACCAAGGCUUUGACGGGUAGCCGGCCUGAGAGGGUGACCGGCCACAUUGGGACUGAGAUACGGCCCAGACUCCUACGGGAGGCAGCAGUGGGGAAUAUUGCACAAUGGGCGGAAGCCUGAUGCAGCAACGCCGCGUGCGGGAUGACGGCCUUCGGGUUGUAAACCGCUUUCGCCUGUGACGAAGCGUGAGUGACGGUAAUGGGUAAAGAAGCACCGGCUAACUACGUG
Molecule: ribosomal RNA, 468 nt
Filed under: uncultured bacterium
Lineage: Bacteria
Description: partial 16S ribosomal RNA
Rfam family: Bacterial small subunit ribosomal RNA
Source: RNAcentral